AGCAGUCGCCGCGGUAAUACGAAGGGGGCUAGCGUUGUUCGGAUUUACUGGGCGUAAAGCGCACGUAGGCGGACUUUUAAGUCAGGGGUGAAAUCCCGGGGCUCAACCCCGGAACUGCCUUUGAUACUGGAAGUCUUGAGUAUGGUAGAGGUGAGUGGAAUUCCGAGUGUAGAGGUGAAAUUCGUAGAUAUUCGGAGGAACACCAGUGGCGAAGGCGGCUCACUGGACCAUUACUGACGCUGAGGUGCGAAAGCGUGGGGAGCAAACAGGAUUAGAUACCCCUGUAGUCCCUGUCUCUUAUAU
This 303-nucleotide ribosomal RNA is filed under the name uncultured bacterium. RNAcentral describes it as "partial 16S ribosomal RNA". It matches the Rfam family "Bacterial small subunit ribosomal RNA", at positions 507 to 809 of the family's 1533-position model. The record is from RNAcentral.